RNAcentral lists this ribosomal RNA (813 nucleotides) under uncultured marine bacterium. RNAcentral's name for it is "bacterial SSU rRNA". It matches the Rfam family "Bacterial small subunit ribosomal RNA", at positions 73 to 885 of the family's 1533-position model. The record is from RNAcentral.
GGAGAGCUUGCUCUUGCUGACSACCGGCGCACGGGUGAGUAACGCGUAUGCAAUCUACCGAUWAGCUGGGGAAUAGCCCGMAGAAAUUCGGAUUAAUGCCCCAUAACAUUUUAGAGAGGCAGCUCUCUGAUCUGAAAAUUUUAAUGGCUAUCGAUGAGCAUGCGUACUAUUAGUUUGUUGGUGAGGUAACGGCUCACCAAGACUAUGAUAGUUAGGGGGUCUAAAAGGAUGGUCCCCCACACUGGUACUGAGACACGGACCAGACUCCUACGGGAGGCAGCAGUGAGGAAUAUUGGUCAAUGGGCGAAAGCCUGAACCAGCCAUGCCGCGUGCAGGAUGACAGCCCUACGGGUUGUAAACUGCUUUUGUACGGGAAGAAACCUGUCUACGUGUAGACAGCUGACGGUACCGUAAGAAUAAGCAUCGGCUAACUCCGUGCCAGCAGCCGCGGUAAUACGGAGGAUGCAAGCGUUAUCCGGAUUUAUUAGGUUUAGAGGGUGCGCAGGCGGGAGAAUAAGUCAGUGGUGAAAUCCUACAGCUUAACUGUAGAACUGCCAUUGAUACUAUUUUUCUUGAGUUCAGUUGAGGCAGGCGGAAUGUGCAGUGUAGCGGUGAAAUGCUUAGAUAUUGCACAGAACUCCGAUUGCGUAGGCAGCUUGCUAAACUGAAACUGACGCUCAUGCACGANAGCGUGGGGAGCGAACAGGAUUAGAUACCCUGGUAGUCCACGCCGUAAACGAUGAUCACUCGUUGUGUGCGAUAUACGGCACGCGACUGAGCGAAAGCAUUAAGUGAUCCACCUGGGGAGUACGG